This 524-nucleotide ribosomal RNA is filed under the name uncultured bacterium. Its description in RNAcentral is "partial 16S ribosomal RNA". It matches the Rfam family "Bacterial small subunit ribosomal RNA", at positions 28 to 523 of the family's 1533-position model. The record is from RNAcentral.
GACGAACGCUGGCGGCGUGCCUAAUACAUGCAAGUCGAGCGCAGGAAACUGACGGAACUCUUCGGAGGGAGGGCAGUGGAAUGAGCGGCGGACGGGUGAGUAACACGUAAGGAACCUGCCUCAAGGAUUGGGAUAACUCCGAGAAAUCGGAGCUAAUACCGGAUAGUUCAUCGGACCGCAUGGUCCGUUGAUGAAAGGCGCUUCGGCGUCACCUUGAGAUGGCCUUGCGGUGCAUUAGCUAGUUGGUGGGGUAACGGCCCACCAAGGGGACGAUGCAUAGCCGACCUGAGAGGGUGAUCGGCCACACUGGGACUGAGACACGGCCCAGACUCCUACGGGAGGCAGCAGUAGGGAAUCUUCCACAAUGGACGAAAGUCUGAUGGAGCAACGCCGCGUGAGUGAUGAAGGUUUUCGGAUCGUAAAACUCUGUUGUAAGGGAAGAACACGUACGAGAGGAAAUGCUCGUACCUUGACGGUACCUUACGAGAAAGCCACGGCUAACUACGUGCCAGCAGCCGCCGUAA